GGAGAGAUGGCCGAGCUGGUUGAAGGCGGUUGACUCGAAAUCAACUGUAGGGGAAACCUUACCGGGGGUUCGAAUCCCUCUCUCUCCGCCA
RNAcentral lists this transfer RNA (91 nucleotides) under Deltaproteobacteria bacterium. RNAcentral's name for it is "tRNA-Ser". It matches the Rfam family "tRNA". From Rfam's summary of the family: Transfer RNA (tRNA) molecules are approximately 80 nucleotides in length. Their secondary structure includes four short double-helical elements and three loops (D, anti-codon, and T loops). Further hydrogen bonds mediate the characteristic L-shaped molecular structure. tRNAs have two regions of fundamental functional importance: the anti-codon, which is responsible for specific mRNA codon recognition, and the 3' end, to which the tRNAs corresponding amino acid is attached (by aminoacyl-tRNA synthetases). tRNAs cope with the degeneracy of the genetic code in two manners: having more than one tRNA (with a specific anti-codon) for a particular amino acid; and 'wobble' base-pairing, i.e. permitting non-standard base-pairing at the 3rd anti-codon position. The record is from RNAcentral. Lineage: Bacteria; Pseudomonadati; Myxococcota; Myxococcia.